Molecule: ribosomal RNA, 326 nt
Filed under: Pyramidula pusilla
Lineage: Eukaryota; Metazoa; Mollusca; Gastropoda; Stylommatophora; Pyramidulidae
Description: partial 16S ribosomal RNA
Source: RNAcentral
UUGACUGUGCUAAGGUAGCAUAAUAAAUUGGCUUUUAAUUGAAGUCGGGAAUGAAAGGGUGUUUGGAGUUAUUCUGUCUUAUUUUUAUUUUUUAAAAAUUACUAAUGAGAUGAAAAUUUCUCAAUGUUUUAUGAUAGACGAGAAGACCCUAAGAAUUAUUACAACUAUUAAAUUGAAUUAAUAAAAGUUUUUGUUGGGGCAACAGCUUUGAAUAACCAAAGUUAAAAUUUACUAUAAGAAGAUUAUAUUAAAAACGGAUUUAAUUACCUUAGGGAUAACAGCAUAAUUAAAUUUUAGAUUGUGACCUCGAUGUUGGAUUAAGGCCU